Molecule: ribosomal RNA, 575 nt
Filed under: uncultured bacterium
Lineage: Bacteria
Description: bacterial SSU rRNA
Rfam family: Bacterial small subunit ribosomal RNA
Source: RNAcentral
CCUACGGGAGGCAGCAGUGAGGAAUAUUGGACAAUGGGCGCAAGCCUGAUCCAGCCAUGCCGCGUGCAGGAUGACGGUCCUAUGGAUUGUAAACUGCUUUUGUACAGGAAGAAACACUGGUUCGUGAACCAGCUUGACGGUACUGUAAGAAUAAGGAUCGGCUAACUCCGUGCCAGCAGCCGCGGUAAUACGGAGGAUCCAAGCGUUAUCCGGAAUCAUUGGGUUUAAAGGGUCCGUAGGCGGUUUGGUAAGUCAGUGGUGAAAGCCCAUCGCUCAACGGUGGAACGGCCAUUGAUACUGCCAGACUUGAAUUAUUAGGAAGUAACUAGAAUAUGUAGUGUAGCGGUGAAAUGCUUAGAGAUUACAUGGAAUACCAAUUGCGAAGGCAGGUUACUACUAAUUGAUUGACGCUGAUGGACGAAAGCGUGGGUAGCGAACAGGAUUAGAUACCCUGGUAGUCCACGCCGUAAACGAUGGAUACUAGCUGUUGGGAGCAAUCUCAGUGGCUAAGCGAAAGUGAUAAGUAUCCCACCUGGGGAGUACGUUCGCAAGAUGAAACUUAAUGAAUUGACGGU